Molecule: non-coding RNA, 72 nt
Organism: Phrynosoma platyrhinos (Desert horned lizard)
Lineage: Eukaryota; Metazoa; Chordata; Lepidosauria; Squamata; Phrynosomatidae
Source: the annotation of a GenBank genome assembly
GCCAGUGUGGUGUGGUGGUUUGAGCAUUGGACUAUGAUUCUGGAGACCAGGAUUCAAAUCCCAGCUCAGCCA